RNAcentral lists this RNase P RNA (421 nucleotides) under Qipengyuania algicida. Its description in RNAcentral is "Bacterial RNase P class A". It matches the Rfam family "Bacterial RNase P class A". From Rfam's summary of the family: Ribonuclease P (RNase P) is a ubiquitous endoribonuclease, found in archaea, bacteria and eukarya as well as chloroplasts and mitochondria. Its best characterised activity is the generation of mature 5'-ends of tRNAs by cleaving the 5'-leader elements of precursor-tRNAs. Cellular RNase Ps are ribonucleoproteins. Lineage: Bacteria; Pseudomonadati; Pseudomonadota; Alphaproteobacteria; Sphingomonadales; Erythrobacteraceae. The record is from Rfam by way of RNAcentral.
UCAGGGGGCCGGGCAGCCGCGUGUCUUUACGGCGCGAGGAAAGUCCGGGCUCCACGAAGCAAGGGUGGCGGGUAACGCCCGCCGGGCGGCGGCCUUCGGGCCAAGGCCAAGGGAAAGUGCCACAGAGAGCAAACCGCCGAUGGCCCGGACACGGGCACAGGCAAGGGUGAAAGGGUGCGGCAAGAGCGCACCGGGGCUUCGGCAACGCGGCCCGCAUGGCAAACCCCACCCGGAGCAAGGCCGAAUAGGGAUCCCGCGCUCCCGCAAGGGGGCAGGGCGCUUCGCCCCAGAGGAUCCGGGUUGGCUGCAAGAGCGCAUCCGGCAACGGAUCGCCCAGAUGAAUGGCUGCCACCGCGCGGCCGGUCCCGGCAACGGGAUACCGCGUGCGGAACAGAACCCGGCUUACAGGCCCCCUGACAUU